GAAAGAAAUAAUUAAGUUACUGCUAAUAAUUUAUUGUCAAUUUAUUUUGACUUCUUUCU
RNAcentral lists this transfer RNA (59 nucleotides) under Adenocephalus pacificus. RNAcentral's name for it is "tRNA-Ser". The record is from RNAcentral. Lineage: Eukaryota; Metazoa; Platyhelminthes; Cestoda; Diphyllobothriidea; Diphyllobothriidae.